AUUGAACGCUGGCGGCAUGCCUUACACAUGCAAGUCGAACGGCAGCACGGGAGCAAUCCUGGUGGCGAGUGGCGAACGGGUGAGUAAUAUAUCGGAACGUGCCCAGUCGUGGGGGAUAACGUAGCGAAAGCUACGCUAAUACCGCAUACGAUCUAGGGAUGAAAGCGGGGGAUCGCAAGACCUCGCGCGAUUGGACCGGUCGAUAUCAGAUUAGGUAUUUGGUGAGGUAAAGGCUCACCAAGCCGACGAUCUGUAGCUGGUCUGAGAGGACGACCAGCCACACUGGGACUGAGACACGGCCCAGACUCCUACGGGAGGCAGCAGUGGGGAAUUUUGGACAAUGGGCGCAAGCCUGAUCCAGCAAUGCCGCGUGCAGGAUGAAGGCCUUCGGGUUGUAAACUGCUUUUGUACGGAACGAAACGGCGAGCUCUAAUACAGUUUGCUAAUGACGGUACCGUAAGAAUAAGCACCGGCUAACUACGUGCCAGCCGCCGCCGUAA
Molecule: ribosomal RNA, 500 nt
Filed under: uncultured bacterium
Lineage: Bacteria
Description: partial 16S ribosomal RNA
Rfam family: Bacterial small subunit ribosomal RNA
Source: RNAcentral